UACGGAGGGAGCGAGCGUUAAUCGGAAUUACUGGGCGUAAAGCGUGCGCAGGCGGCUUUGCAAGACAGGUGUGAAAUCCCCGGGCUCAACCUGGGAACUGCAUUUGUGACUGCAAGGCUAGAGUACGGCAGAGGGGGAUGGAAUUCCGCGUGUAGCAGUGAAAUGCGUAGAUAUGCGGAGGAACACCAAUGGCGAAGGCAAUCCCCUGGGCCUGUACUGACGCUCAUGCACGAAAGCGUGGGGAGCAAACAGG
RNAcentral lists this ribosomal RNA (253 nucleotides) under uncultured bacterium. RNAcentral's name for it is "partial 16S ribosomal RNA". It matches the Rfam family "Bacterial small subunit ribosomal RNA", at positions 524 to 776 of the family's 1533-position model. The record is from RNAcentral.